This 962-nucleotide ribosomal RNA is filed under the name uncultured archaeon. Its description in RNAcentral is "bacterial SSU rRNA". It matches the Rfam family "Archaeal small subunit ribosomal RNA", at positions 94 to 1039 of the family's 1478-position model. The record is from RNAcentral.
UAACACGUGGACAAUCUGCUCUUAGGUGGGGGAUAACCUCGGGAAACUGAGGAUAAUACCCCAUAGGUGAGGAGCUCUGGAAUGAGCCUCGCUGAAAGGCGCCAGCCUGUUCCGGCUGGUUGUGCCUAAGAAGGAGUCUGCGGCGGAUUAGGUUGAUGUUAGGGUAAUGGCCUAACAUGCCCACGAUCUGUAUCGGCUAUGAGAGUAGGAGCCGGGAGAUGGAUACUGAGACAAGGAUCCAGGCCCUACGGGGCGCAGCAGGCGCGAAAUCUUCGCAAUGUGCUAACGCACGACGAGGGAACCCCAAGUGCUCUUGUACAACAAGAGUUUUUGCGGAGUGUAAAUAGCUCCGAGAAUAAGGGCUGGGUAAGGCUGGUGCCAGCCUCCGCGGUAAAACCAGCAGCUCUAGUGGUACUCGCGUUUAUUGGGCUUAAAGCGUACGUAGUCGGUUCGGCAAGUUCCCUGUAAAAUCCUGUGACUCAAUUACAGGGCGUGCGGGGAAUACUACCGAGCUAGGAACCGGGAUAGGUCAGGGGUAUUCCUUGGGUAGCGGUGAAAUGCUAUAAUCCAAGGAAGACCACCAAUAGCGAAGGCACCUGUCUGGAACGGGUUCGACGAUGAGGGACGAAAGCUAGGGGAGCAAACGGGAUUAGAUACCCCGGUAGUCCUAGCCGUAAACGAUGCAGACUAAGUGUUUCUCGAACUUUGCGUUCGGGAAGCGUUGAAGGGAAACCGUUAAGUCUGCCGUCUGGGGAGUACGGUCGCAAGGCUGAAACUUAAAGGAAUUGGCGGGGGAGCACCACAAGGGGUGGAGUCUGCGGUUUAAUUGGAUACAACGCCGGGAAACUUACCAGGGGGCGACGGCAGGGAUGACGGCCAGGCUGAAUGUCUUGCCAGACGAGCCGAGAGGUAGUGCAUGGCCGCCGUCAGCUCGUACCGUAAGGCGUGCGGUUAAGUCCGUU